RNAcentral lists this ribosomal RNA (98 nucleotides) under Salmonella enterica subsp. enterica serovar Infantis. RNAcentral describes it as "partial 23S ribosomal RNA". It matches the Rfam family "Bacterial large subunit ribosomal RNA", at positions 1 to 89 of the family's 2925-position model. RNAcentral also lists the same sequence under 17 other names. The record is from RNAcentral. Lineage: Bacteria; Pseudomonadati; Pseudomonadota; Gammaproteobacteria; Enterobacterales; Enterobacteriaceae.
GGGUUGUGAGGUUAAGCGACUAAGCGUACACGGUGGAUGCCCUGGCAGUCAGAGGCGAUGAAGGGCGUGCUAAUCUGCGAUAAGCGCCGGUAAGGUGA